GGUUGAUCCUGCCAGUAGUCAUAUGCUUGUCUUAAAGAUUAAGCCAUGCAUGUUUAAGUUCAUACCCUUGAAUGGUGAAACCGCGAAUGGCUCAUUAAAUCAGUUAUAAUUUUAUGGGAUGUGAUUUGUUAAUUGGAUAACUGUGGUAAUUCUAGAGCUAAUACAUGCAUCAUACGGCUGGGUUCGCCCCGGCUGUGCUUUUAUUAGUGCAAACCAGGCCUCCGGGCAGCAAAAUGGUGACUCUGAAUAACUUUGCCGAGCAUUGAAGCUUCAAGCUAGUGCUAUUCCUUCAA
This 293-nucleotide ribosomal RNA is filed under the name uncultured eukaryote. RNAcentral's name for it is "partial 18S ribosomal RNA". It matches the Rfam family "Eukaryotic small subunit ribosomal RNA", at positions 6 to 301 of the family's 1831-position model. The record is from RNAcentral.